UUCUUCUUCUCUCAUCUAAACCUCUGUGUCCAUGUGGUCGAUGAAAUAUCUCCUUACCAAACAUCCAACCCCGGAAUCACAUAAUUCUUCUCAUCCACAAGAACUAAAAGAAGACCAGUACCCCUUCUUUUGAUGAAUCACAAGGAACUAGGAUUUUGUUUAUACCUUGGGAGCACCUACAAACAUGAAAUCUGUUGUUUAUUCAAUUUGGAUUGGAUAACACAUCUAUCCUCAUCUUCUUCAAUGGCCAAGGGCAAUGAACGGUUCACGCAUGAACUUUUAAUAUCUGAGAUUUCUUAUUGUACUUCUUGGUAACAUACAUGACAACAUCACCUGUAGUAGGUUUUAUAAGAGACACUAAUUCAGAUUGACAUUCAAGAAGGAGCAGCUAAUUGGAAUGAAAUUCGGGAUAAGUUUGAAGAUGGAGGUAAACAAAAAAAAAAACCAAAUCACUAUAUAUAUUGUCAGGUUGAUCCCGUUUUCAAUAGGAUUAGUUCUAUUACUUGGUUGGAUCGUCUUUUAUGCCAUUAUAGUUCUCUGUUGUUUGCCAAUAAUUUGUAUUCAGAUUGUUAAGCUCCUUUUGGUUUUAUAGAUGUUGAACAACUAAUCCUUGAUUAUAUGGUUAUUUUUUGAAAU
Long non-coding RNA from Cynara cardunculus var. scolymus (artichoke), 636 nucleotides. RefSeq lists it as uncharacterized. The transcript has 4 exons. The record is from RefSeq and is a predicted model, not a curated record. NCBI's taxonomy places the organism in Eukaryota, Viridiplantae, Streptophyta, Magnoliopsida, Asterales, Asteraceae.